UCCGGUUUGUCACCGGCAGUCUCCUUAGAGUUCCCACCAUCACGUGCUGGCAAAUAAGGACAAGGGUUGCGCUCGUUACGGGACUUAACCCAACAUUUCACAACACGAGCUGACGACAGCCAUGCAGCACCUGUCUCAGAGCUCCCGAAGGCACCAAGCCAUCUCUGGCGAGUUCUCUGGAUGUCAAGAGUAGGUAAGGUUCUUCGCGUUGCGUCGAAUUAAACCACAUGCUCCACCGCUUGUGCGGGCCCCCGUCAAUUCAUUUGAGUUUUAACCUUGCGGCCGUACUCCCCAGGCGGUCGACUUAGUGCGUUAGCUGCGCCACUAAGAGAUCAAGUCUCCCAACGGCUAGUCGACAUCGUUUACGGCGUGGACUAC
RNAcentral lists this unclassified non-coding RNA (378 nucleotides) under uncultured Oceanospirillales bacterium. RNAcentral describes it as "contains 16S-23S intergenic spacer region". The record is from RNAcentral. Lineage: Bacteria; Pseudomonadati; Pseudomonadota; Gammaproteobacteria; Oceanospirillales.